Molecule: ribosomal RNA, 782 nt
Filed under: Cetraspora gilmorei
Lineage: Eukaryota; Fungi; Glomeromycota; Glomeromycetes; Diversisporales; Gigasporaceae
Description: eukaryotic LSU rRNA
Rfam family: Eukaryotic large subunit ribosomal RNA
Source: RNAcentral
ACCUCAAGUCAUGUGAGAGUACCCGCUGAACUUAAGCAUAUCAAUAAGCGGAGGAAAAGAAACUAACAAGGAUUCCCCUAGUAACGGCGAGUGAAGCGGGAAGAGCACAAAUUUUAAAUCUACCUUGGUUUUCCAGGUCGAGUUGUAAUUUGAAGAAACGUUUUUUACGUUCCGGGUUGGAUUAAAUCCUUUGGGAUAAGGUAUCAUGGAGGGUGAGAAUCCCGUGUAUACCAACCACUGGAAUGUUAUUAAUACGAUUUCUAAGAGUCGAGUUGUUUGGGAAUGCAGCUCUAAAUGGGUGGUAAAUUUCACCUAAUGCUAAAUAUAAGCGAGAGACCGAUAGUGAACAAGUACCGUGAGGGAAAGAUGAAAAGAACUUUGAAAAGAGAGUUAAAUAGUACGUGAAAUUGUUGAAAGGGAAACGGUUGAAGUCAGUCAUGCCGGUGGGAAUCAACUUAGGGGAAACUCUAGGUGCACUUCUUCGCUUGGCAGGUUAGCGUCGAUUUUGGAUGUCAUAAAAUGACUGGGGGAAGGUAGCUCCUUCGGGAGUGUUAAGCCCUUGGUAGAUGUGAUGUUCGGGAUCGAGGAUUGCAACGGAUACCCUUUGGGCUAGCCGCCUGGUCUCUAAUACGAAGUUGGGUUAUGGAUAGCAUGCUAACCAUGAUCUGAUUUUCGGUUAAAAGAUUAGAGUGAGUGUAAAUUCGUUAAGGACGCUGACGUAAUGGCUUUAAACGACCCGUCUUGAAACACGGACCAAGGAGUCUAACAUAUAUGCGAGUGUU